GGACGAAAAUCCGUUGGUUUCACGGGACCGUGAGGGUUCGAAUCCCUCUAUCCCCAGCA
This 59-nucleotide transfer RNA is filed under the name Microgramma persicariifolia. RNAcentral describes it as "partial tRNA-Leu". The record is from RNAcentral. Lineage: Eukaryota; Viridiplantae; Streptophyta; Polypodiopsida; Polypodiales; Polypodiaceae.